RNAcentral lists this long non-coding RNA (1202 nucleotides) under Cervus hanglu yarkandensis (Yarkand deer). Its description in RNAcentral is "lncRNA (ENSCHYG00000016821.1)". The record is from RNAcentral. Lineage: Eukaryota; Metazoa; Chordata; Mammalia; Artiodactyla; Cervidae.
UCCUGGGGGGCCCUGACCCUCCGUCCAGGCCAGGCGAAGGGCCGAAAAGCAGGCGGUAGACCUGAGUGCAAGGGGGUCGCGGUUCAGCUGGGGCUCCAGCCCUGCACCCCCAGGGGAGUCAGCAGAGCGCCAGGGCGGGGGUCCAGGCUGGGGGCUCCCCCAGGAGCAGACACAGGAGCCCUGCACCCCGUGGGAGCCAGGGGAGGGCCAGGGCGGGGGACUCCCAGGAGAAGACACAGGCGCCCCACUGAGGCUUCCAGCCCUCACCUCGGGCAGGUCCACCUGGGCGGCCAGCAGGGCCCGGGCCGCACUGUCAGGCAGCGACAGGUUCUGCGUCAGGAAGCGCCGCAGCUCCCGCCUGUCCCUGGCCACCGAGUCCAGAGAGAAGGAGGACACUGGACAGACAGACGGACGGGGCUGAAGGCCGGCCCCACCCGGGGCCAGAGUGCCCCAGAGGGCCUCCGAGCUGAGCUCCCAGCAGCUCCCACUGUGGCUGGGCCACAGUGACGGGCAGCGGGCGCUUGGUGAGCACCGGGCAGGGGUGUGGGCGUGGGGCCUGCGGCAGGAAGCGCCUGAACCCGGCUUCAAACCCUGCUGACCCCCGGCCCGCCCCGGGGCGCACCUGCAGGUCGGGCCGCGGGGCCGUCCCAGGGGUCCGGGCCGGCGCUGAGGGCCUCCAGGUGCUGGCGCAGCACCUCCAGCUCCGAGCCCAGGCUGGGCCUCGCCGGGUCAAACAGGUUGCCCUCCUCCACCACACGGUUGAGGCGCUCCAGCAGCUGUGUGACCCUGCAGCAACGCCGGCCGUCACCCGCAGGCCGCCAGGCCCGGAGAGGGGCCGCCGGGGGGCGGGGCCCGGGGCGGGGAAUCUGGGGGCGGGGCCCAGGCCCGGGGUGGGGCCGCCGGGGGCGGGGCACUCACGUGGAGUUGGCGUACUGAAGGAAGCCGAACUCGUCCCGCUGGCCGUCGGGGCACAGCGACUGCAUGACCGGCAGGAUGCCGGCGGAGAGAUGGUGGGCUUCUUCUGCCGAAGCCCCAGCAGGAUGAAAAACAGGACGAGCGGGAUGAAGAUCUCGAAGGCCAAGACCCACUGGAAAGGGUGGGCGGAGUGAGGCCACCUGCCCAGGGCUGGACAGGACACACCCAAACUCCCCUCGCCCUCACAGACCAGGGCCAGCCCAGCCCCACUGGACCCUGCAUGCCCC